CAGGCUGUUAGAUAUAUGGUGUAUGCGGGCAGUAUUGUAUGCCUUAUAGUUCGUCUAUCCAUUUGCUGCUUCUAUAUGUACGCACGUAGCCUACUCAUUUACUGCUUCUACAUGUAUGCACGUAGACUUUACUGCUGUGUUAUAAUGCUGUGACAAUAUACUGCUGGACAUUGUGAUACUUCUACCUCAUGGUUAUUGGGUUCCUGAUCUAUGUCAGGAGAGUCUGUUAGGACUUGCGAAAUAUCAUAUCUCUAUAGCUCUGAUCCACUCACAC
Molecule: long non-coding RNA, 274 nt
Filed under: Elaeis guineensis (African oil palm)
Lineage: Eukaryota; Viridiplantae; Streptophyta; Magnoliopsida; Arecales; Arecaceae
Description: long non-coding RNA (EGUI_LNC062218)
Source: RNAcentral